AGAAGCUAUGCGAUACAAAUCAUGUACUGGUGUUAACUAUUGGCAUAACAAUCUUCAGUGUAAACUUUUGUCGUGGGAUCAAAGCAUAUCUAACUUGAUUGUUUCAUUAGAUGACCAGCUUAUUGAUAGUCCUGGACAUGUAUAUACGGAUAUCGAUAGCUGGACGAUGGUAAGUUAUCACAUUUAAAAAGAAGAUGUGGUAUGAUUGCCAAAGAGCCAACUCUUCACAAGACACCAAAUGGCAUAGAAGUUAUCAGCUAUAGGUAAGUACGGCUUUCGACAAAGAGAAAAGUCCAUGCCGCAUAGUCAGCUAUACAAGGUCCCAAAAUCACAAAUGAAAACCAUUCAAACGAAACUAACGGCCUAAUGAAGGUACAAAAAUAAGAACGAAAAAAAAAACACAUCAACAAAUGACAACCACUGAAUAACAGGAUUCUGACUUGGGACGGGCACAUACAUACAUCAUGUGGCGGGAUUUAACACGUAAAUGUCAUCCAUUCCCUACCCCUAAACUGGGUCAGUGGUGUAACAGUGCAACAUAAGAACGAACUAUCAAAAUUAGAUUUAAAAGGCUUAACUCGUCAGAUGGAUACAAAUAGG
RNAcentral lists this long non-coding RNA (600 nucleotides) under Mytilus galloprovincialis (Mediterranean mussel). The record is from RNAcentral. Lineage: Eukaryota; Metazoa; Mollusca; Bivalvia; Mytilida; Mytilidae.